Molecule: unclassified non-coding RNA, 200 nt
Filed under: Erythrobasidium sp.
Lineage: Eukaryota; Fungi; Basidiomycota; Cystobasidiomycetes; Erythrobasidiales; Erythrobasidiaceae
Description: partial internal transcribed spacer 2
Source: RNAcentral
UUAAGUUCAGCGGGUAGUCCUGACUGAUUUGAGGUCUAAAGCUUAAAGGUGUGCAGCUGACGCUACGACGCAUUAGAAGCACCACUAUCUUGAAAUGAAACGUCCUCAGCGAAAUAAAGCUAUUACGCCGAGUCAAGCCGUUAAUUCAAACUGGGUUACUCGUAUAUUUCAGCCGAGCCGAUCUCUAGUUAAAGAGUCCA